RNAcentral lists this ribosomal RNA (503 nucleotides) under uncultured bacterium. RNAcentral's name for it is "bacterial SSU rRNA". It matches the Rfam family "Bacterial small subunit ribosomal RNA", at positions 32 to 507 of the family's 1533-position model. The record is from RNAcentral.
AACAACGCUGGCGGCGUGCCUAACACAUGCAAGUCGUACGAGAAAGUCGGCUUCGGCCGAUGAGUACAGUGGCGCACGGGUGAGUAGCGCGUGGGUAAUCUGCCCCCCCGGUCAGGAAUAACCCGCCGAAAGGCGGGCUAAUACCCGAUAACACUGACGCUCCGCGGAGCGUCUUUCAAAGAAGGCCUCUGUUUACAAGCUUUCGCCGGAGGAUGAGCCCGCGUACCAUUAGCUAGUUGGCAGGGUAAUGGCCUACCAAGGCUACGAUGGUUAGCUGGUCUGAGAGGAUGGCCAGCCACACUGGAACUGAGACACGGUCCAGACUCCUACGGGAGGCAGCAGUGAGGAAUCUUGCGCAAUGGGGGAAACCCUGACGCAGCAACACCGCGUGAGUGAGGAAGGCCUUCGGGUCGUAAAGCUCUGUCAGAUGGGAAGAAAUGGAUGGGGGCUAAUAUCGCCCAUCCUUGACGGUACCAUCAGAGGAAGCACCGGCUAACUCCGUG